RNAcentral lists this ribosomal RNA (805 nucleotides) under uncultured bacterium. RNAcentral's name for it is "bacterial SSU rRNA". It matches the Rfam family "Bacterial small subunit ribosomal RNA", at positions 60 to 825 of the family's 1533-position model. The record is from RNAcentral.
AGUCGAGCGAGCUUGCCUAGAUGAAUUUGGUGCUUGCACCAGAUGAAACUAGAUACAAGCGAGCGGCGGACGGGUGAGUAACACGUGGGUAACCUGCCCAAGAGACUGGGAUAACACCUGGAAACAGAUGCUAAUACCGGAUAACAACACUAGACGCAUGUCUAGAGUUUAAAAGAUGGUUCUGCUAUCACUCUUGGAUGGACCUGCGGUGCAUUAGCUAGUUGGUAAGGUAACGGCUUACCAAGGCAAUGAUGCAUAGCCGAGUUGAGAGACUGAUCGGCCACAUUGGGACUGAGACACGGCCCAAACUCCUACGGGAGGCAGCAGUAGGGAAUCUUCCACAAUGGACGCAAGUCUGAUGGAGCAACGCCGCGUGAGUGAAGAAGGGUUUCGGCUCGUAAAGCUCUGUUGGUAGUGAAGAAAGAUAGAGGUAGUAACUGGCCUUUAUUUGACGGUAAUUACUUAGAAAGUCACGGCUAACUACGUGCCAGCAGCCGCGGUAAUACGUAGGUGGCAAGCGUUGUCCGGAUUUAUUGGGCGUAAAGCGAGUGCAGGCGGUUCAAUAAGUCUGAUGUGAAAGCCUUCGGCUCAACCGGAGAAUUGCAUCAGAAACUGUUGAACUUGAGUGCAGAAGAGGAGAGUGGAACUCCAUGUGUAGCGGUGGAAUGCGUAGAUAUAUGGAAGAACACCAGUGGCGAAGGCGGCUCUCUGGUCUGCAACUGACGCUGAGGCUCGAAAGCAUGGGUAGCGAACAGGAUUAGAUACCCUGGUAGUCCAUGCCGUAAACGAUGAGUGCUAAGUGUUG